AUUGAACGCUGGCGGCAGGCCUAACACAUGCAAGUCGAGCGGAUGAAGGGAGCUUGCUCCUGGAUUCAGCGGCGGACGGGUGAGUAAUGCCUAGGAAUCUGCCUGGUAGUGGGGGAUAACGUCCGGAAACGGGCGCUAAUACCGCAUACGUCCUGAGGGAGAAAGUGGGGGAUCUUCGGACCUCACGCUAUCAGAUGAGCCUAGGUCGGAUUAGCUAGUUGGUGGGGUAAAGGCCUACCAAGGCGACGAUCCGUAACUGGUCUGAGAGGAUGAUCAGUCACACUGGAGCUGAGACACGGUCCAGACUCCUACGGGAGGCAGCAGUGGGGAAUAUUGGACAAUGAGCGAAAGCCUGAUCCAGCCAUGCCGCGUGUGUGAAGAAGGUCUUCGGAUUGUAAAGCACUUUAAGUUGGGAGGAAGGGCAGUAAGUUAAUACCUUGCUGUUUGGACGUUACCAACAGAAUAAGCACCGGCUAACUUCGU
This 483-nucleotide ribosomal RNA is filed under the name uncultured bacterium. RNAcentral describes it as "partial 16S ribosomal RNA". It matches the Rfam family "Bacterial small subunit ribosomal RNA", at positions 30 to 506 of the family's 1533-position model. The record is from RNAcentral.